AUUGAACGCUGGCGGAAGGCCUAACACAUGCAAGUAGAACGAGUGGCAGACGGGUGAGUAAUGUCUGGGAAACUGCAUGAUGGAGGGGGAUAACAAAUGGAAACGGUAGCUAAUACCGCAUAACAUCCGAUGUGCCCAGAGGGGAUUAGCUUGUUGGUGGGGUAACGGCUCACCAAGGCGACGAUCCCUAGCUGGUCUGAGAGGAUGACCAGCCACACUGGAACUGAUACACGGUCCAGACUCCGACGGGGUGCAGCAGUGGGGAAUAUUGCACAAUGGGCGCAAGCCUGAUGCAGCCAUGCCGCGUGUAUGAAGAAGGCCUUCGGGUUGUAAAGUACUUUCAGCGGGGAGGCGUUACCCGCAGAAGAAGCCCCGGCUAACUCCGUGCCAGCAGCCGCGGUAAUAC
This 406-nucleotide ribosomal RNA is filed under the name uncultured bacterium. RNAcentral's name for it is "partial 16S ribosomal RNA". It matches the Rfam family "Bacterial small subunit ribosomal RNA", at positions 30 to 526 of the family's 1533-position model. The record is from RNAcentral.